GCCCGUCAGACUCGUAGCGGCGAGUGAGCGGCAAGAGCUCAGAUUUGAAAUCUCACCUAGUGUGCGAGUUGUAAAUUGCAGGUUGGAGUCUCGGGUUAGACGUGUGUGCAAGUCCCUUGGAACAGGGUGCCACUGAGGGUGAGAGCCCCGUAUCGUGCAUGUCGACACCUGUGAGGCCCUUCUGACGAGUCGAGUUGUUUGGGAAUGCAGCUCUAAGUGGGUGGUAAAUUCCAUCUAAGGCUAAAUAUUGGCGAGAGACCGAUAGCGAACAAGUACUGUGAAGGAAAGAUGAAAAGCACUUUGAAAAGAGAGUGAAACAGCACGUGAAAUUGUUGAAAGGGAAGGGUAUUGGGCUCGACAUGGGAUUUACGCAUCGUUGCCUCUCGUGGGCGGCGCUCUGGGUUUUUCCUGGGCCAGCAUCGGUUUUCGUUGCAGGAUAAGGACAAUUGGAAUGUGGCUCCUCGGAGUGUUAUAGCCUUUUGUAGAUGCUGCGUAUGGGGACCGAGGGCUGCGGCGGACUCGUUUCGUCUCGGAUGCUGGCACAACGGCGCAAUACCGCCCGCGAACGAAACACGGACCAA
This 581-nucleotide ribosomal RNA is filed under the name Pichia kluyveri. RNAcentral describes it as "eukaryotic LSU rRNA". It matches the Rfam family "Eukaryotic large subunit ribosomal RNA", at positions 77 to 669 of the family's 3401-position model. The record is from RNAcentral. Lineage: Eukaryota; Fungi; Ascomycota; Pichiomycetes; Pichiales; Pichiaceae.